ACGAACGCUGGCGGCGUGCCUAAUACAUGCAAGUAGAACGCACAGUUUAUACCGUAGCUUGCUACACCAUAGACUGUGAGUUGCGAACGGGUGAGUAACGCGUAGGUAACCUGCCUGGUAGCGGGGGAUAACUUUUGGAAACGAUAGCAAAAACGCCUUAAUAUGAAUUUUUGAAGGAUAUUUGAUUGAAAAAUGCUAUGCCAUCCCUACCAAUUGAACCUGCGUUGUUUUAGCUAGUAGGUGAGGUAACGGCCAACCUAGGCGACGAUACAUGGCCGACCUGAGAGGGUGAUCGGCCACACUGGGACUGAGACACGGCCCAGACUCCUACGGGAGGCAGCAGUAGGGAAUCUUCGGCAAUGGACGAAAGUCUGACCGAGCAACGCCGCGUGAGUGAAGAAGGUUUUCGGAUCGUAAAGCUCUGUUGUAAGAGAAGAACGGGUGUGAGAGUGGAAAGUUCACACUGUGACGGUAUCUUACCAGAAAGGGACGGCUAACUACGUG
Molecule: ribosomal RNA, 504 nt
Filed under: uncultured bacterium
Lineage: Bacteria
Description: partial 16S ribosomal RNA
Rfam family: Bacterial small subunit ribosomal RNA
Source: RNAcentral